RNAcentral lists this ribosomal RNA (301 nucleotides) under uncultured bacterium. Its description in RNAcentral is "partial 16S ribosomal RNA". It matches the Rfam family "Bacterial small subunit ribosomal RNA", at positions 509 to 809 of the family's 1533-position model. The record is from RNAcentral.
CAGUCGCCGCGGGAAUACGAAGGGGGCUAGCGUUGCUCGGAAUUACUGGGCGUAAAGGGCGCGUAGGCGGACAGUUCAGUCGGGGGUGAAAGCCCGGGGCUCAACCUCGGAAUUGCCUUCGAUACUGGCUGUCUUGAGUAUGAGAGAGGUGUGUGGAACUCCGAGUGUAGAGGUGAAAUUCGUAGAUAUUCGGAAGAACACCAGUGGCGAAGGCGACACACUGGCUCAUUACUGACGCUGAGGCGCGAAAGCGUGGGGAGCAAACAGGAUUAGAGACCCCUGUAGUCCCUGUCUCUUAUAA